CACUUGCUUUUUAAUUAAAAGAUAGUAUGAAAGGAACAACGACAUAAAACUGUCUCAAAUGAUAUAACAAACUUAGCUUUUAUGUAAAAAGACAUAAAUAAAUAAUCAAGACGACAAGACCCUGACAAACUUAAUAUUUAGUUGGGGCGACAAAUUAAAAAAACCUUAAUAAUUAUUAUCAACCAAAACCUAUACAAUAGAUAGAGACUAGUUACUGCAGGGAUAACAGCGCAAUUUUUCUCAAGAGUCCCAAUCCAAAGAAAAGCUUACGACCUCGAUGUUGAAUUAACUUAACUAAUUAAGCGCAAAAGCUAAUAAAGUCAGUCUGUUCGACUAAUAACCAGUU
RNAcentral lists this ribosomal RNA (346 nucleotides) under Metagonia belize. Its description in RNAcentral is "partial 16S ribosomal RNA". The stretch from base 110 to 346 matches the Rfam family "Bacterial large subunit ribosomal RNA", at positions 2079 to 2597 of the family's 2925-position model. Lineage: Eukaryota; Metazoa; Arthropoda; Arachnida; Araneae; Pholcidae. The record is from RNAcentral.